Molecule: ribosomal RNA, 207 nt
Filed under: uncultured bacterium
Lineage: Bacteria
Description: partial 16S ribosomal RNA
Rfam family: Bacterial small subunit ribosomal RNA
Source: RNAcentral
CGCGUAGGCGGCGCGACAAGUCAGAUGUGAAAGCCCCGGGCUCAACCCGGGAAUUGCAUUUGAUACUGUUGUGCUAGAGUCCGGGAGAGGAUGGCGGAAUUCCCAGUGUAGAGGUGAAAUUCGUAGAUAUUGGGAAGAACACCGGUGGCGAAGGCGGCCAUCUGGACCGGUACUGACGCUGAGGCGCGAAAGCGUGGGGAGCAAACA